AUUGAACGCUGGCGGCAUGCUUUACACAUGCCAGUCGAACGGUAACAGGCCGCAAGGUGCUGACGAGUGGCGAACGGGUGAGUAAUGCAUCGGAACGUGCCCAGUCGUGGGGGAUAACUACUCGAAAGAGUAGCUAAUACCGCAUACGAUCUAUGGAUGAAAGCGGGGGACCGUAAGGCCUCGCGCGAUUGGAGCGGCCGAUGUCAGAUUAGGUAGUUGGUGGGGUAAAGGCUCACCAAGCCAACGAUCUGUAGCUGGUCUGAGAGGACGACCAGCCACACUGGGACUGAGACACGGCCCAGACUCCUACGGGAGGCAGCAGUGGGGAAUUUUGGACAAUGGGCGCAAGCCUGAUCCAGCAAUGCCGCGUGCAGGAAGAAGGCCUUCGGGAUGUAAACUGCUUUUGUACGGAACGAAACGGCUCUGGUUAAUACCCGGGGCUAAUGACGGUACCGUAAGAAUAAGCACCGGCUAACUACGUG
This 482-nucleotide ribosomal RNA is filed under the name uncultured bacterium. Its description in RNAcentral is "partial 16S ribosomal RNA". It matches the Rfam family "Bacterial small subunit ribosomal RNA", at positions 30 to 507 of the family's 1533-position model. The record is from RNAcentral.